Molecule: ribosomal RNA, 309 nt
Filed under: uncultured eukaryote
Lineage: Eukaryota
Description: partial large subunit ribosomal RNA
Rfam family: Eukaryotic large subunit ribosomal RNA
Source: RNAcentral
AUAUUACUCAGCGGAGGAGAAGAAACUAACUAAGAUUGCCCCAGUAACUGCGAGUGAAGAGGCAAGAGCUCAAUGUUAAAAUCGCGGAGCACUAGUUUCGCGAAUUGUAACCUCAAGGGGUGGACAUAGGUAGAGCCGAUGCGUAAGUUCCGAGAAUUAGGACGCCAUAGAGGGUGAAAGCCCCGUACAUAGCAUCAGCGAAGCCGACGGAAACCUUCUCAGAGUCGGGUUGUUUGGUAAUGCAGCCUAAACGGGGGGUAAACAUCCUCUAAAGCUAAAUAUGAAUGGGAGACCGAUAGCGCACAAGUA